UCGGGAAUAUUGCGCAAUGGAGGGAACUCUGACGCAGUGACGCCGCGUAUGGGAAGAAGGUUUUCGGAUUGUAAACCAUUGUCGUUAGGGAAGAAGAAGUGACAGUACCUAAGGAGGAAGCUCCGGCUAACUAUGUGCCAGCAGCCGCGGUAAUACAUAGGGAGCGAGCGUUAUCCGGAUUUAUUGGGUGUAAAGGGUGCGUAGACGGGAAUUUAAGUUGGUUGUGAAAUCCCUCGGCUCAACUGAGGAACUGCAACCAAAACUGGAUUUCUUGAGUAUUGGAGAGGAAAGUGGAAUUCCUAGUGUAGCGGUGAAAUGCGUAGAUAUUAGGAGGAACACCAGUGGCGAAGGCGGCUUUCUGGACAAUAACUGACGUUGAGGCACGAAAGUGUGGGGAGCAAACAGG
RNAcentral lists this ribosomal RNA (406 nucleotides) under uncultured bacterium. Its description in RNAcentral is "bacterial SSU rRNA". It matches the Rfam family "Bacterial small subunit ribosomal RNA", at positions 355 to 776 of the family's 1533-position model. The record is from RNAcentral.